This 1197-nucleotide long non-coding RNA is filed under the name Homo sapiens (human). RNAcentral describes it as "non-protein coding lnc-NTSR2-9:4". Lineage: Eukaryota; Metazoa; Chordata; Mammalia; Primates; Hominidae. The record is from RNAcentral.
AUUGCAGCUCCGUGCCGGGGGCGCCAGCACCGGCCUCGCAGCUCCCUCGCCCGGCCGGGGAGGUAAACAAAGUGAAAUAUCCUUCCGCGGCCCGGGGCCCCGGGCGCAGCACCCUGGGUGUCGGCUGCGAGCCGGCUGCGAGCCCAGCUGCGGGCGGCUGGGCCGGGGUUACCAGCAGCGACUCCCGAGCCGUUCCCCACACGCUGCUCCCGCAGCGCCCGCUCCAGCUCUUCGUAGCUCGUUCAUGUUCCUGGCGCUUUUCCCCAGAAAGCCAGGCACGCUCUGAGCAUUGGGCCCCCAGGCUCAGAUGUGGCCCUGAAUGAGGAGCUCUGUUUUGGAAGAAUGCGCUUUCAUCGGUAUUGCUGCCUGGAGUUUCGAGAAUUCGUUUCAUGGUAUCUCUCCGACAUCCUCCUCUCCAUUUAAAAGGAAAUCCAUUGCUUCCUUUUAGUUGGUGUCACCGCUUGCCCCCGAUCCCCACAUCCUGGGCUUGUAUUUCUAGUGUUUUCAGCAGAAGAGGAACUGAAGGCAUCUUUUGAUUCAGGUCAAAUUUAAUCACUAAUUCUUCCCUUCCCAGUGCAUUGCCUGGAGGGCCUUGGAGGCCAAGCUAGACAAAACUUUGCACCCACACCUCCAGGGAGCGCUGUUGGGUCCUAUCCAGGGUGCUGGGCGUCCUGAGUCCUCUUCUGUUAGCCAGGUGAAGGCUGCAGUUUCACGCCCCACUCCACCCCCCAUUUCGCCACCCCCCCCGAAUUAUUCGUAACUUCCUUGGGAGAUUCCAGUCCGCGGGCUUGGACAGGAACACCGGAAGCAAGGGGCUUGAACUCAGGCAGAGGCUUCAAACGCCAGCCUUGAUCUAAGAUAUCCUGGUGAAUGAGAAGCGAUCUAGUAGAGGACAAACUUAAAAAAAAAAAUCCCAAGGAACUGAGAAAGGGGAGUUGGGACGACUCCUGGAGCCCUCUGAGCUUUUGCAUGCGUGUAGUAUAUUUUCCACUGGAGGAGGGGACUAAAUUAUUGUCCACUGUAGGACACUUUCAGUAAAAGAAGGGAGCUAUUUAUAAUUAUGUCCACUUGGGACAACAGUCACUCUAAUGAUCAGGAGUCCUGGGAAUGUGGCCAGAGAUGGAGAGGACAUUGACUAUAAAGCUUCCACCCAGCAGCACAGAGUUAAAAGGAAGGUUAAGAAGUGGACCCGUGCCU